GAUGAACGCUGGCGGCGUGCCUAAUACAUGCAAGUCGAGCGAACGGACGAGAAGCUUGCUUCUCUGAUGUUAGCGGCGGACGGGUGAGUAACACGUGGAUAACCUACCUAUAAGACUGGGAUAACUUCGGGAAACCGGAGCUAAUACCGGAUAAUAUGUUGAACCGCAUGGUUCAAAAGUGAAAGACGGUCUUGCUGUCACUUAUAGAUGGAUCCGCGCUGCAUUAGCUAGUUGGUAAGGUAACGGCUUACCAAGGCAACGAUGCAUAGCCGACCUGAGAGGGUGAUCGGCCACACUGGAACUGAGACACGGUCCAGACUCCUACGGGAGGCAGCAGUAGGGAAUCUUCCGCAAUGGGCGAAAGCCUGACGGAGCAACGCCGCGUGAGUGAUGAAGGUCUUCGGAUCGUAAAACUCUGUUAUUAGGGAAGAACAUAUGUGUAAGUAACUGUGCACAUCUUGACGGUACCUAAUCAGAAAGCCACGGCUAACUACGUGCCAGCAGCCGCGGUAAUACGUAGGUGGCAAGCGUUAUCCGGAAUUAUUGGGCGUAAAGCGCGCGUAGGCGGUUUUUUAAGUCUGAUGUGAAAGCCCACGGCUCAACCGUGGAGGGUCAUUGGAAACUGGAAAACUUGAGUGCAGAAGAGGAAAGUGGAAUUCCAUGUGUAGCGGUGAAAUGCGCAGAGAUAUGGAGGAACACCAGUGGCGAAGGCGACUUUCUGGUCUGUAACUGACGCUGAUGUGCGAAAGCGUGGGGAUCAAACAGGAUUAGAUACCCUGGUAGUCCACGCCGUAAACGAUGAGUGCUAAGUGUUAGGGGGUUUCCGCCCCUUAGUGCUGCAGCUAACGCAUUAAGCACUCCACCUGGGGAGUACGACCGCAAGGUUGAAACUCAAAGGAAUUGACGGGGACCCGCACAAGCGGUGGAGCAUGUGGUUUAAUUCGAAGCAACGCGAAGAACCUUACCAAAUCUUGACAUCCUCUGACACCUCUAGAGAUAGAGCCUUCCCCUUCGGGGGACAAAGUGACAGGUGGUGCAUGGUUGUCGUCAGCUCGUGUCGUGAGAUGUUGGGUUAAGUCCCGCAGCGAGCGCAACCCUUAAGCUUAGUUGCCAUCAUUAAGUUGGGCACUCUAAGUUGACUGCCGGUGACAAACCGGAGGAAGGUGGGGAUGACGUCAAAUCAUCAUGCCCCUUAUGAUUUGGGCUACACACGUGCUACAAUGGACAAUACAAAGGGCAGCGAAACCGCGAGGUCAAGCAAAUCCCAUAAAGUUGUUCUCAGUUCGGAUUGUAGUCUGCAACUCGACUACAUGAAGCUGGAAUCGCUAGUAAUCGUAGAUCAGCAUGCUACGGUGAAUACGUUCCCGGGUCU
RNAcentral lists this ribosomal RNA (1372 nucleotides) under uncultured bacterium. RNAcentral describes it as "bacterial SSU rRNA". It matches the Rfam family "Bacterial small subunit ribosomal RNA", at positions 28 to 1381 of the family's 1533-position model. The record is from RNAcentral.